UGCCGGGGCCUCGGCUCCGCGGGUGUCAUCUGGCGGCCUGCAGUUCCAAGCGACUUGGGGUCCUUGUGCCUUGGAGUGGCGUCUGGGGAGCAAGGGCAGCGGAAGCAACCCCGCAGUUGAGGACAGUAGGUAUCGGUGGCUUUGGACCCUGCCCGCGGAGACCUGGGGCCCCAUGCCCCGAAGAAAUGGUGCCACCUGUCCUCCCCCGCCCCCCCACCUCCGCCACCUCACCGAAGCGCCCGGCACCUUAGCCUCCUCUCCAGGAAACCGGACCCCUUUUCUGGCACACCGUGGAUUCCGGGACCCCCAACAAAGGCUCCUUGGACCUUCAGGACACCCCUCCUUUCAGAACUUCUUGAGCCCCAGGUGCUAGACUCGUGUCUGCGGAGGCCUUUCCCGUGCCUGGUCUUACUUUCUUUCUUAAAGGAGUUGGAACUCUAAAGGCCCUUCUGACUCUCAAGAGGGAAUCCUGCUCCCUCGCCCAGGCUGGAGGGCAGUGGCACGAUCUCGGCUCACUGCAAACCCCGGGUUCAAGUGAUUCUCCUGCCUCAGCCUCCUUAGUAGCUGGAUCACAGACGCGCGCUACCACGCCCAGCUAAUUUUUGUAUUUUUAGUAGAGGUGGGGUUUCAACAUGUUGGCCAGGCUGGUCGCGGAACUCCCGAACUCAAGUGAUCCGCCCUCCUCGGCCUCCCAAAGUGCUGGGAUUACAAGCGUGAGCCACCGCGCUUGGCCUGCAAUUUUGAAUAGAGCCGUCAGCAUGGGCCUCAUUUAUAAAAUGACUUUAAAUCGGAGACCUGAAAGAGCUGAGGGAGUCAGCCAUGCAGUUGACUGGGGAAGAGUGUCCUUGGUGAACGGCCCUGAGACAAAAGCCUCGGGAAGUGUUAGAAAGAAUGAGGAGGCCAGGACGGUUAGAGCAGUGAGCAAAUGGGAGCGGAAUGAGGAGAUAAGAUCAGAGAGGGAUCUCAAGUAGGGAGCUGUAAGAAUCUUGGCUGAAACAGAACCACUGCUGGGCUUUGAACAGAGGAGUGAUAGGAUCUGACUUGCGCUUUCAAAACAUCACUCUGGUCAGAUCACUGUGGCCGCCGUGCUAAGAGCAGACCUAAGAGGACAAUGGUGGAAGCCAGAGGCUCCAUUACCCAGGUACAGAAUGAUGGCUCGAACCAGAUGGUAGCAAUGAAUAAGAUGGAUAAGAUGCAGUCUCAGCCGGGCACAGUGGCAUUUGACUGUAAUCCCAGUUAUUCAGGAGGCUGAGGCAGGAGGAUAGGAGCACUUGAGCCCAGGAGUUCAAGUGCAGCCUGGGCAACACAGCAAGCCCCCAUCUCUAAACAAUAAGCGUACAGUCUGUCUACAGUCUCCCAACACUUUGGGAGGCAGAGGCGGGAGGAUUGCUUGAGCACAAGAGUUCAAGAACAGCCUAGGCAACGUGGGGAGACUCUGUCUCUACAAAAAUAAAAAAAAUUAGCCAGCAGGGUAGUGUGCACCCAUGGUCCCAGCUAUGUGGGAGGCUGAGAUGGGAGGAUCCCUUGGGCCCAAGAGGUCAAGGCUGCAGUGAGUUGUGAUUGCGCCACUGCACUCCAGCCUGGGUAACAGAGCGAGACGCUGUCUUUAAAAAAAGAGAGAGAGAGUAGACUUAGCUCCAAGUCUGGAGCUUUUGUUUAUUUUUUUCUUUAUAAAAAUUUUUUAACUUUAUAGAAAUGGGAUCUCACUAUGUUGCUCAGACUUGUGUUGAACUCCUGUUUAGCACCAUCUCUUACAAGUGUUAGGCAGCUCUGCUCCUCUCACUUGUCUGGGAUUCUGAGGUUCUUCCCUAAAGUGCUCAUCCUGAGCUAAUGGGGGAUAGGGCUGGAGAGAGAACAGAGGUGGUUAGCUGCCAGAAUGAGGUGGGAAGAUGGGGAUCAGCAGCCUUUGUGAAGAAAAGAAGUAUGAGUCCCAGGGUGUUAAAAGGUGGAUGGGCAAUAAAAUCUAUUACAUACGGGAUUCAUGCUAAAUGAGUAGAUUUUAGCUUCUCUUGCCACAAUAAAAAAAAAUGGAUAACUGUGUG
Molecule: long non-coding RNA, 2042 nt
Organism: Macaca mulatta (Rhesus monkey)
Lineage: Eukaryota; Metazoa; Chordata; Mammalia; Primates; Cercopithecidae
Source: Ensembl